Molecule: ribosomal RNA, 641 nt
Filed under: Enterococcus faecalis
Lineage: Bacteria; Bacillati; Bacillota; Bacilli; Lactobacillales; Enterococcaceae
Description: bacterial SSU rRNA
Rfam family: Bacterial small subunit ribosomal RNA
Source: RNAcentral
CUCAAAGGAAUUGACGGGGGCCCGCACAAGCGGUGGAGCAUGUGGUUUAAUUCGAAGCAACGCGAAGAACCUUACCAGGUCUUGACAUCCUUUGACCACUCUAGAGAUAGAGCUUUCCCUUCGGGGACAAAGUGACAGGUGGUGCAUGGUUGUCGUCAGCUCGUGUCGUGAGAUGUUGGGUUAAGUCCCGCAACGAGCGCAACCCUUAUUGUUAGUUGCCAUCAUUUAGUUGGGCACUCUAGCGAGACUGCCGGUGACAAACCGGAGGAAGGUGGGGAUGACGUCAAAUCAUCAUGCCCCUUAUGACCUGGGCUACACACGUGCUACAAUGGGAAGUACAACGAGUCGCUAGACCGCGAGGUCAUGCAAAUCUCUUAAAGCUUCUCUCAGUUCGGAUUGCAGGCUGCAACUCGCCUGCAUGAAGCCGGAAUCGCUAGUAAUCGCGGAUCAGCACGCCGCGGUGAAUACGUUCCCGGGCCUUGUACACACCGCCCGUCACACCACGAGAGUUUGUAACACCCGAAGUCGGUGAGGUAACCUUUUUGGAGCCAGCCGCCUAAGGUGGGAUAGAUGAUUGGGGUGAAGUCGUAACAAGGUAGCCGUAUCGGAAGGUGCGGCUGGAUCACCUCCUUUCUAAGGAA